GGUUUUAUAUUCAAUUAAUGAUUUUAGAUUGCAAAUCUGAAGGUGUAUAAAUACUAAAACCU
This 62-nucleotide transfer RNA is filed under the name Ammianus toi. RNAcentral's name for it is "tRNA-Cys". Lineage: Eukaryota; Metazoa; Arthropoda; Insecta; Hemiptera; Tingidae. The record is from RNAcentral.